Molecule: ribosomal RNA, 301 nt
Filed under: uncultured bacterium
Lineage: Bacteria
Description: partial 16S ribosomal RNA
Rfam family: Bacterial small subunit ribosomal RNA
Source: RNAcentral
CAGCAGCCGCGGUAAUACGAGGGGGGCAAGCGUUGUUCGGAAUUAUUGGGCGUAAAGGGUGCGUAGGCGGUUUGACAAGUCUUAUGUGAAAUCUCUGGGCUCAACCCAGAGUCUGCAUGGGAAACUGUCGGGCUUGAGUAUGGGAGAGGUGAGUGGAAUUUCCGGUGUAGCGGUGAAAUGCGUAGAUAUCGGAAGGAACACCUGUGGCGAAAGCGGCUCACUGGACCAUAACUGACGCUGAGGCACGAAAGCUAGGGGAGCAAACAGGAUUAGAUACCCCAGUAGUCCCUGUCUCUUAUAA